ACGAACCGUCCAAACGUUAUUCGGAAUCACUGGGCUUAAAGGGUGCGUAGGCGGCCAUGUAAGUGAGGUGUGAAAUCCCUCGGCUCAACCGAGGAACUGCGCUUCAUACUGCAUGGCUUGAGGGAGACAGGGGUAAGCGGAACUGAUGGUGGAGCGGUGAAAUGCGUUGAUAUCAUCAGGAACACCGGUGGCGAAAGCGGCUUACUGGGUCUCUUCUGACGCUGAGGUACGAAAGCUAGGGUAGCGAACGGGAUUAGAUACCCCGGUAGUCCUAGCUGUAAACGAUGAGCACUUGGUUGGGGAUCCUCCCAUAGGUUCUCGACCGUAGCGAAAGUGUUAAGUGCUCCGCCUGGGGAGUAUGGUCGCAAGGCUG
This 373-nucleotide ribosomal RNA is filed under the name uncultured bacterium. RNAcentral describes it as "bacterial SSU rRNA". It matches the Rfam family "Bacterial small subunit ribosomal RNA", at positions 525 to 896 of the family's 1533-position model. The record is from RNAcentral.